Molecule: non-coding RNA, 23 nt
Filed under: Cricetulus griseus (Chinese hamster)
Lineage: Eukaryota; Metazoa; Chordata; Mammalia; Rodentia; Cricetidae
Source: RNAcentral
UGAAAUAGGAGAUGGAGGAUGGC